Molecule: ribosomal RNA, 492 nt
Filed under: uncultured bacterium
Lineage: Bacteria
Description: partial 16S ribosomal RNA
Rfam family: Bacterial small subunit ribosomal RNA
Source: RNAcentral
AGUGAACGCUGGCGGUAGGCCUAACACAUGCAAGUCGAACGGCAGCACAGUAAGAGCUUGCUCUUACGGGUGGCGAGUGGCGGACGGGUGAGGAAUACAUCGGAAUCUACUUUUUCGUGGGGGAUAACGUAGGGAAACUUACGCUAAUACCGCAUACGACCUACGGGUGAAAGCAGGGGAUCUUCGGACCUUGCGCGAUUGAAUGAGCCGAUGUCGGAUUAGCUAGUUGGCGGGGUAAAGGCCCACCAAGGCGACGAUCCGUAGCUGGUCUGAGAGGAUGAUCGGCCACACUGGAACUGAGACACGGUCCAGACUCCUACGGGAGGCAGCAGUGGGGAAUAUUGGACAAUGGGCGCAAGCCUGAUCCAGCAAUACCGCGUGGGUGAAGAAGGCCUUCGGGUUGUAAAGCCCUUUUGUUGGGAAAGAAAAGAAGCAGGUUAAUACCCCGCUGUUCUGACGGUACCCAAAGAAUAAGCCCCGGCUAACUUCGUG